Molecule: long non-coding RNA, 346 nt
Filed under: Gadus morhua (Atlantic cod)
Lineage: Eukaryota; Metazoa; Chordata; Actinopteri; Gadiformes; Gadidae
Description: lncRNA (ENSGMOG00000029888.1)
Source: RNAcentral
GCUCCCUGUGUUUUUUCCUUCCUUCUUUUGAAACAAAAAUUAGGAAUUUCUUGAGGAUUACAGACUUCGGAGACAAGGGAGCAACAUGGACGUUUGCAGAUGAUUAUUUCCGGUACGGAGACAUCAGUGAUGUCGAGACAUCUCCACGGGCUGUUCAUCAGGCACGGUUGCAUGUUGCUACUUCACUGCUUCAGUGUAAAGGGAAUGCAGAGGACUUCUGUGUGUGCUCCUUUGCCGAAGAAAAUGCAGAUGAGUGCAUGAUUGAAAAGGUAAAGUAUAACGUAAAAUAUGUGCUUUGUAUUAUUAAUUGACUCAAAAAUGUGUUUGCAUAAUACCAUACAAUGUA